RNAcentral lists this long non-coding RNA (987 nucleotides) under Mus caroli (Ryukyu mouse). RNAcentral's name for it is "predicted gene 10550 (MGP_CAROLIEiJ_G0002379.1)". Lineage: Eukaryota; Metazoa; Chordata; Mammalia; Rodentia; Muridae. The record is from RNAcentral.
GAGGAAGAACUGCAAACCCAGGCACCACCAAUCCUGUGACAUGCAAGAUUCCUGAGUUGUGCAGUGACACUUGUCAAGCGAAAGGAGACCCAGGACAACAGGACUCUCUGAUGGUCUGCUGCUGAACAAUGACCACUGAGAGCAAGCACAGAAAUGUGGAGCCCAGAGAGACCUGACACACAGCAGGAGAACCUCCCCUAUUCCGCCCUCUUUCGGUCCAUUGGCUCACGAGGGACAGACGGCCUCUCUCGCGUGUGCUUGGAGGAGAAACUAUAUGAAUGAAGUGAGCCAAUGAACUUGCAAGCGCCAGAUCCCGGAGGUGUGAAGUCGUCCAUAGAAAUGCCGCUCUUGUCUGCCCCCUCAGCGUCGGCGGCGGAGGAGGAAGAGGCCUUCUGGUGGUCAGCCUCUGUAGCAGACGCUUGUGCCUCUUCCUGGCCUCUGGCCAAUGGGGCAGCCGGGUCAUCUCCUGGAGUUUUUUCCAGAGACUGACCCUGCUCCUGGCUGACAGCACCUGGGGUGGCCUUGGGGGCUGCAUCAUCUUGUGGAGAAGCUCGCUUCAACUUUCGGGACUCUGGCUUGGCCAUCAAGUUAUCACUUGAAGACAGUGAAGAUCCUAUGGUUCCUUUCCCUGUCUCUGCGCUUGUGUGGCCCCUCAUGGCCGCUGUGGUCUUUCUCCUAGCAUGGCCAUGUCCUCCAGCCCCCCUCUUCUUCUCUGACAGAUGGAAAAUAGAGGGUACAGCCGUGGGCUUCAGCAGGCGAUGCUGGUCCUCCAGUCUUUUGGAGAAGCUGUCUUUGGUAAAAUGCUCACUACAGAGGAAUGAAUACUUAGUCGGGGUCCAAUUAUCCCUCUGAACAGCUUUUAACCACUGGAUCAGUCGUUUGGAGUCCUUUAGGGGAAACCUUCAAGACAAAUGACAAAGUACUUAGAAAUAUUGACAUGCUUUCUUCUAAAACUAUCAUCAAUAAAAGCAAAUCAAGUAUUUCUGC